GCUUUGCGGCUGGAUCCCCUCCUUUCUAAGGAAAUUUGCGAAAGCGCCAGCGCCCGUCGUUGGAAGAGCUUCGCAGGUUCCAAAGAACAUUGCCGUCGUCCUCAUGUCCUUCCAUCAAUCGGAAAACAGCACUUUCAGGGUGUUGUUAGUCUGAGCCGGCUCACGCCCCUCGGGCCUUUUGCGGCCGGUGGGACAAAGUGGGCCUGUAGCUCAGUUGGUUAGAGCGCACCCCUGAUAAGGGUGAGGUCAGUGGUUCAAAUCCACUCAGGCCCACCAUUUACCUGUAUGGGGCCUUAGCUCAGCUGGGAGAGCACCUGCUUUGCAAGCAGGGGGUCAUCGGUUCGAUCCCGAUAGGCUCCACCAGGUAUGCGCAGCGCGCUAUGGCGUAGCGGCGCAAUCCAAGACUUCCGAUAGAUGAAACGAAAGAGAUCCGGUCUUUUUGACCGGUCAGGCGGAUCUGCCGCCGACAUUUGACAUUGUGAAUGGGUUUUUAAAUCGAUGCCGUGGCGCAUAGAUUGUUAUGAUGGUCUAGCCGACCCGCGUAACGCCAAGUCUAUGCAUCACAAAUCAAUCAAAUUGAUUAUCUGGCUGAGAUAAUUCCUCCGCAUCAUCGUUAAGACGCAUAGCCGUUAUGCAGGGCUGUCGUUGAUGGUGUGGAUUCUCAAGCGUGAGGUAAGAGCAUUUGGUGGAUGCCUUGGCAUGUACAGGCGAAGAAGGACGUGGCACGCUGCGAUAAGCGUCGGGGAGUUGUGAGCAAACUUUGAUCCGGCGAUUUCCGAAUGGGGAAACCCGAAGC
This 796-nucleotide unclassified non-coding RNA is filed under the name uncultured bacterium. RNAcentral describes it as "partial contains 16S ribosomal RNA, 16S-23S ribosomal RNA intergenic spacer, and 23S ribosomal RNA". The stretch from base 663 to 796 matches the Rfam family "Bacterial large subunit ribosomal RNA", at positions 1 to 134 of the family's 2925-position model. The record is from RNAcentral.